This 305-nucleotide ribosomal RNA is filed under the name uncultured bacterium. Its description in RNAcentral is "bacterial SSU rRNA". It matches the Rfam family "Bacterial small subunit ribosomal RNA", at positions 338 to 643 of the family's 1533-position model. The record is from RNAcentral.
CCUACGGGGCGCAGCAGUGGGGGAUAUUGCACAAUGGGGGAAACCCUGAUGCAGCGACGCCGCGUGAGUGAAGAAGUAUUUCGGUACGUAAAGCUCUAUCAGCAGGGAAGAAAAAAAGUCCACAGGACUUUGGACGGUACCUGACUAAGAAGCCCCGGCUAACUACGUGCCAGCAGCCGCGGUAAUACGUAGGGGGCAAGCGUUAUCCGGAUUUACUGGGUGUAAAGGGAGCGUAGACGGCAGCGCAAGUCUGGAGUGAAAUGCCGGGGCUCAACCCCGGAACUGCUUUGGAAACUGUGCGGCUC